AAGGGUAGGGGUCAGCGCAGUUAGGGAAUCCGUGAGGCUCCUGUUACUGCGCAUGCUCUAAGCUCCAAGCCCACAACCUCCUUGGAAAGAACACUACCGCCAACGCUAGCGCUACGGGGCAGAUGUGGUUGUGGGUUUUGUGCCUGCGGAGGAUAUGUAAUGACAGCACAAGUUUGUGGACAGAGGGACAACCAUGACAAACAGGCUUCUUGGAGAACAAGGGGAGUCCAGUUCAGUUGCUAGAGUCAACAUAUAGUGUGCUUCCUGUGAUUGGUGUGGUUCUCAGGUGCUUGCUGUAAAUUUGGGCAGUGUUAAAGGGAUGGCAUUUCUAUGUUUGGUCAACCUGAUAGUGCUUGUACCAUAAUCAUCCAUAAUCAUAUAAGAUGGUGAAAUGGGU
This 397-nucleotide long non-coding RNA is filed under the name Pan troglodytes (chimpanzee). RNAcentral describes it as "long non-coding RNA NONPTRT012003". Lineage: Eukaryota; Metazoa; Chordata; Mammalia; Primates; Hominidae. The record is from RNAcentral.